GAUGAACGCUGGCGGCGUGCCUAAUACAUGCAAGUCGAGCGAACAGAUGAGGAGCUUGCUCCUCUGACGUUAGCGGCGGACGGGUGAGUAACACGUGGAUAACCUACCUAUAAGACUGGGCUAACUUCGGGAAACCGGAGCUAAUACCGGAUAAUAUAUUGAACUGCAUGGUUCAAUAGUGAAAGACGGUUUUGCUGUCACUUACAGCUGGAUCCGCGCCGCAUUAGCUAGUUGGUAAGGUAACGGCUUACCAAGGCAACGAUGCGUAGCCGACCUGAGAGGGUGAUCGGCCACACUGGAACUGAGACACGGUCCAGACUCCUACGGGAGGCAGCAGUAGGGAAUCUUCCGCAAUGGGCGAAAGCCUGACGGAGCAACGCCGCGUGAGUGAUGAAGGUCUUCGGAUCGUAAAACUCUGUUAUUAGGGAAGAACAAAUGUGUAAGUAACUAUGCACGUCUUGACGGUACCUAAUCAGAAAGCCACGGCUAACUACGUG
Molecule: ribosomal RNA, 497 nt
Filed under: uncultured bacterium
Lineage: Bacteria
Description: partial 16S ribosomal RNA
Rfam family: Bacterial small subunit ribosomal RNA
Source: RNAcentral